CUAAAACUGCCUGAACGUGAGGGAGCUUUUUUCUCAACAACACCGCAUAUAAGCUGCUCAUAAGCAACGACGUGGCAAUGAAAACAAGUGGGGAAAGGUGGCAUUUGAAGCAUAAAGUUUCCAAAGUGUACAAACUGGAUUUUCUUUCUAGCGUCGUCUUCAGCGAGGGAGAGAUGAGUCAGCUAGCAAGGACUGCACACCUGCUAAUUAGCAGUGAACCAUUGGCUGGUAGAGCUGCUGCUGGCAUUCCUAGAGGGUACUGGAGCUUCUCCUGGGUAGCCGAGGAUGACCUGAGCUUUCCCAACGACUCCAUACCCAUGUCAGAUAACCAAUGCCCUGGCAAUAGCAGAGCAUGCGACCAGCACCUGCAGGGUAUCCCAGAGUUCACAUGGAGCAUAGUGGCUGCCGGGGACCUGCGAGAGGGAAGGAACGAGAAAAGCGAAAAGAAGGCAGGAAGCCCCCAGGGGUGGGAGGAAGGUCAGUUCCUCUGGGUGAACAGCUCAGCCUUUGGCGGCCCCUGGGUGCUGAGUCCUUGGCUGUGGGGGGGCCAGGGUCUCUGUGGCCUAGACAUGGCUGUGUUCCUCCACCCCAAGCAAAGUGGGCAGUACACCAUAUGGCUCAUAGAGCGGGACAAACCGCCACUUGCCCUCUUCUCAACUGACACACUGCCACGCAUCACAGGCUGGGCAGUGGUCCACCUCACCCUGGGGACCCACGGAGGAUCACCUUUUCGGGUCUCGGCCAGCUAUGAUCAGCGGAUUCCACAGGAUGACAUGGCCACCAUCGAGCCCCACUUCACCACUAACUGCACCAUGGGUAAGUUUUCACAUCCAUGUCAUUCGUUUCAGAAAUUAUGAUGCUGCUUUUUUGUGUGAGCACUAUUGAUGAUUU
This 891-nucleotide long non-coding RNA is filed under the name Sander lucioperca (pikeperch). RNAcentral describes it as "lncRNA (ENSSLUG00000012094.1)". The record is from RNAcentral. Lineage: Eukaryota; Metazoa; Chordata; Actinopteri; Perciformes; Percidae.